UAUUUUAUAGUUUAAAUUAAAAUAUUAAAUUGCAAAUUUAAAGUAAUUUUUUAAAAAAAAUUAAAAUAU
This 69-nucleotide transfer RNA is filed under the name Formica fusca. RNAcentral's name for it is "transfer RNA-Cys". The record is from RNAcentral. Lineage: Eukaryota; Metazoa; Arthropoda; Insecta; Hymenoptera; Formicidae.